This 252-nucleotide ribosomal RNA is filed under the name uncultured bacterium. RNAcentral describes it as "partial 16S ribosomal RNA". It matches the Rfam family "Bacterial small subunit ribosomal RNA", at positions 524 to 776 of the family's 1533-position model. The record is from RNAcentral.
UACGUAGGUCCCGAGCGUUGUCCGGACUUAUUGGGCGUAAAGCGAGCGCAGGUGGUUUAUUAAGUUUGGUGUAAAAGGCAGUGGCUCAACCAUUGUAUGCAUUGGAAACUGGUAGACUUGAGUGCAGGAGAGGAGAGUGGAAUUCCAUGUGUAGCGGUGAAAUGCGUAGAUAUAUGGAGGAACACCGGUGGCGAAAGCGGCCUGCUGGACCGCGACUGACGUUGAGGCUCGAAAGCGUGGGGAGCAAACAGG